UAUUGCACAAUGGGGGGAACCCUGAUGCAGCGACGCCGCGUGGGUGAAGGAGCGUUUCGGCGCGUAAAGCCCUAUCGGCAGGGAAGAAGGAGGACGGUACCUGACUAAGAAGCCCCGGCUAACUACGUGCCAGCAGCCGCGGUAAUACGUAGGGGGCAAGCGUUAUCCGGAUUUACUGGGUGUAAAGGGAGCGUAGACGGCGAUACAAGUCUGAAGUGAAAGCCCGGGGCUCAACCCCGGGACUGCUUUGGAAACUGUGUUGCUGGAGUGCUGGAGAGGCAAGCGGAAUUCCUAGUGUAGCGGUGAAAUGCGUAGAUAUUAGGAAGAACACCAGUGGCGAAGGCGGCUUGCUGGACAGUAACUGACGUUGAGGCUCGAAAGCGUGGGGAGCAAACAGG
RNAcentral lists this ribosomal RNA (398 nucleotides) under uncultured bacterium. RNAcentral's name for it is "bacterial SSU rRNA". It matches the Rfam family "Bacterial small subunit ribosomal RNA", at positions 362 to 776 of the family's 1533-position model. The record is from RNAcentral.